CCUACGGGUGGCAGCAGUGAGGAAUAUUGGUCAAUGGACGAGAGUCUGAACCAGCCAAGUAGCGUGAAGGAUGACUGCCCUAGGGGUUGUAAACUUCUUUUAUGAAGGAAUACAACGAGGCACGUGUGCCUUUUUGCAUGUACUUUAUGAAUAAGGAUCGGCUAACUCCGUGCCAGCAGCCGCGGUAAUACGGAGGGUCCGAGCGUUAUCCGGAUUUAUUGGGUUUAAAGGGAGCGUAGGUGGGUUGUUAAGUCAGUUGUGAAAGUUUGCGGCUCAACCGUAAAAGUGCAAUUGAUACUGGCAGUCUUGAGUACAGUUGAGGUAGGCGGAAUUCGUGGUGUAGCGGUGAAAUGCUUAGAUAUCACGAAGAACCCCGAUUGCGAAGGCAGCUUACUAGACUGUGACUGACAUUGAUGCUCGAAAGUGUGGGUAUCGAACAGGAUUAGAUACCCUUGUAGUC
This 460-nucleotide ribosomal RNA is filed under the name uncultured bacterium. RNAcentral's name for it is "partial 16S ribosomal RNA". It matches the Rfam family "Bacterial small subunit ribosomal RNA", at positions 338 to 795 of the family's 1533-position model. The record is from RNAcentral.